UACGUAGGUGACCAGCGUUGUCCGGAUUUACUGGGCGUAAAGAGCGCGCAGGCGGUCGUUCAAGUCGAGUGUGAAAGCCCCCGGCUCAACUGGGGAGGGUCACUCGAUACUGAUCGACUUGAAGGCAGGAGAGGGAAGCGGAAUUCCCGGUGUAGUGGUGAAAUGCGUAGAUAUCGAGAGGAACACCAGCGGCGAAGGCGGCUCACUGGGCACCACCUGACGCUGAGGCGCGAAAGCGUGGGGAGCGAACCGG
Molecule: ribosomal RNA, 253 nt
Filed under: uncultured bacterium
Lineage: Bacteria
Description: partial 16S ribosomal RNA
Rfam family: Bacterial small subunit ribosomal RNA
Source: RNAcentral